This 492-nucleotide ribosomal RNA is filed under the name uncultured bacterium. RNAcentral's name for it is "partial 16S ribosomal RNA". It matches the Rfam family "Bacterial small subunit ribosomal RNA", at positions 29 to 507 of the family's 1533-position model. The record is from RNAcentral.
AGUGAACGCUGGCGGUAGGCCUAACACAUGCAAGUCGAACGGCAGCACAGUAAGAGCUUGCUCUUACGGGUGGCGAGUGGCGGACGGUUGAGGAAUACAUCGGAAUCUACUUUUUCGUGGGGGAUAACGUAGGGAAACUUACGCUAAUACCGCAUACGACCUACGGGUGAAAGCAGGGGAUCUUCGGACCUUGCGCGAUUGAAUGAGCCGAUGUCGGAUUGGCUAGUUGGCGGGGUAAAGGCCCACCAAGGCGACGAUCCGUGGCUGGUGUGAGAGGGAGAUCAGCCACAUUGGAACUGAGACACGGUCCAGACUCCUACGGGAGGCAGCAGUGGGGAAUAUUGGACAAUGGGCGCAAGCCUGAUCCAGCCAUACCGCGUGGGUGAGGAAGGCCUUCGGGUUGUAAAGCCCUUUUGUUGGGAAAGAAAAGCAGCAGGUUAAUACCCCGCUGUUCUGACGGUACCCAAAGAAUAAGCACCGGCUAACUUCGUG